UACGGAGGGUGCGAGCGUUUAUCGGAAUUACUGGGCGUAAAGCGCGCGUAGGCGGCUUGUUAAGUCGGAUGUGAAAUCCCCGGGCUCAACCUGGGAACUGCAUCCGAUACUGGCGAGCUAGAGUGCGAUAGAGGGGGGUAGAAUUCCUAGUGUAGCGGUGAAAUGCGUAGAUAUUAGGAGGAAUACCGGUGGCGAAGGCGGCUCUCUGGAACGCAACUGACGCUGAGACGCGAAAGCGUGGGGAGCAAACAGG
RNAcentral lists this ribosomal RNA (253 nucleotides) under uncultured bacterium. RNAcentral describes it as "partial 16S ribosomal RNA". It matches the Rfam family "Bacterial small subunit ribosomal RNA", at positions 524 to 776 of the family's 1533-position model. The record is from RNAcentral.